UCCCUCUCAGGGUCGCACCUGGAGAGUUUCCAGUACUCUACCAGUCUUGAUUAUGGGAGGGAGAGUCAAGCAGAGGCCAUGCCAUUCCCAGCUUGGGCAGUGGCUAGUGAGUGGAAGGCAAUCGGCUACAAAU
Tachyglossus aculeatus (Australian echidna) is the source of this 133-nucleotide small nucleolar RNA. The record is from RefSeq and is a predicted model, not a curated record. NCBI's taxonomy places the organism in Eukaryota, Metazoa, Chordata, Mammalia, Monotremata, Tachyglossidae.